GUCCACGCCGUAAACGUUGGGCACUAGGUGUGGGGUCUAUUCAACGGACUCCGUGCCGUAGCUAACGCAUUAAGUGCCCCGCCUGGGGAGUACGGCCGCAAGGCUAAAACUCAAAGGAAUUGACGGGGGCCCGCACAAGCAGCGGAGCAUGUUGCUUAAUUCGAGGCAACGCGAAGAACCUUACCUGGGUUUGACAUGUAGAGAAAAGCCGUAGAGAUACGGUGUCCUUCGGGGUUCUACACAGGUGGUGCAUGGUUGUCGU
RNAcentral lists this ribosomal RNA (262 nucleotides) under uncultured bacterium. Its description in RNAcentral is "partial 16S ribosomal RNA". It matches the Rfam family "Bacterial small subunit ribosomal RNA", at positions 793 to 1055 of the family's 1533-position model. The record is from RNAcentral.